UGCCUUUUGGGGUUGAUAAAGGAACUGUCAUUAGAAUUUUCCUCUUGUAUGCAGUUACAGACCAUUCAUCUUGUCCAGGUGGGGUUAAAGAAUGGAUUUUCAGGAUCAUUCUUAGACUUCUUUUCUGAAUAAUUUCCAGGUCUUCAUCUCUUUUUUCACUUUCCUCUUCCAGGAGCAGACCUAUAAUUGAAGCUGUUCGUAGCUGGCUAACAGACCUGCAGAGGUACAACUGUGAAGGUUUUGGCUGGGGUGGAGCUGAUUUUCCUCAGAGUAGCCCCGGGGAGUUAGCAAGCGGCUUAGCGGGAGCUGCCAGCUGGGGAUAAACCACAGCACUGCUGCACUUGCUCCACAGGUUCUGCAAGGGGUGACUGGCAUGUGUAUUCACUGGCAAGAAUAAACAGUGUUGCCAGGCCAUUUGCAUGGCCCACAGAACCUCCACGCUGAAAUAUGAUAAACAAGGAAGGGUGAGAGCUUGCUACUCAAAACAUACCCUUAUUUCUCUCGGGCAAUGCCAUGCCAACCUUGCUACGCUGCUCAGUGAGCAGGUGCUCUGGGCUCUUUUGCUCUUUCAGAAAUAUCUGUCAAGACCAAGCUGAAUUUCCUUGGCUUCUGGGGUUCUCCAACUAAGUGCUUUGAGAGGCGGCGUUGGCAGUGGAUCUUCAUCCUUCAGACAGAUCCAGAGGAGAAUUCAUUGCUGGGUCGUUAACUGACGAUUAAAGAAUGAAAGUGGUAACUUGACAACACUUCCAAGUGGCUGGAAAUGCAUGUUUACCUAAUGGAAAUCGUUAUCAGGACUCCCUUCUCAGAUAAGAUCUGGGCAUUACUGUGAAGAGGCAGGAAGGUUUAUCUCUGACCAUGGGAAGCUGACAGCUCUCAUGCUGCGUAUUUUAACAGUUGCCUGUCAGCACCAACCUCUGCCAUUUGAUUGUCACUUCAAUGAGUAAGAUCUGUCAAACUGAACACAAAGAACAAUGUUUCUUAUGGUGGAAACAUUUAGAGUUUAUUUCUCUUUUAUUGUAUUGUAUUAGUUUGCAUCAUUCAGACUGAUUACUUACAUGAAAGGAUGAUACAGGUAUGAAAUACGGGAUUAUUCCAGCUAGAUCAAUUACAAGUAAAGCAGGAUGGAAUUAUUUUUCAGCAUGAGGCAAUUUCAGCCAUUUAAAGAUAACUGUGCAUCCUAGAUAAAUGAAAUGGAGCUAUGUAAUUAUCAUUCUCAAAAAGGUGCAGAGCCCACUCUAUUUUGCAAACUGUCAGAGUGCUGUAAAAGUAUCACAAGCUAAAAAAUAUCACCAUGCAAAAGAGCUCACUGUCUCUCAUCAGAUAGUGAAAACAAUUUGCCUGCAGGAGUUACUUUGAAAUAUUAACUUGAAUCCUAAACCAGGCAGCUAACAACAGGGUGUACUGACUAAUCCUGAAAAGGAGAUAAAAAUGUCUUCACUGUUUUAUUUCAACCUAUUGCAUUGGAUAUUUGAGAUUAAAUAGACGUCCAAGCUAAGACCACAAAAAUUGCCUGCUCUUUAUUCUUCUGCUUCCCCCUUCAUCAGACACACACCCUAACCCCCAAUGAAUGCUGUAAGAUGUCAUUAAAUUUUCUUUCCCAUCACAUAAUGGAAUGUCUCAUAGUGUACAUUGGCACAAAAUGGACUAAGGAAUAAGUGGUCAUUUAAUAGUUUUCAGUGCUUUCAAAUCUGAGAAAAAUAGUAGUUAGAUGAGGCUAGAUUCCACAGUCUUUGCACAUGAUGAGUAUUAUUGCUUUAUGAAUAACUUCUUUGAUGGUUGUGAGAAUUAUCUGUGUUCUUUUCACAGCUAAAUCUGUUAUUAGGCCUUCUGCUGCUGUCAGGUCUUACCCUGACACACAUUUUAGCACAUAAUUAAUGCUAUCACAGCUAGUGUGAUUUUUUUUAAAUCCUUGAUAUUUUGUAAGUUUUGUUGGUCCGGGAUGAGAUAUCGGUGUUUCAUGGGUAUUCUGUAUUCUGUAGCUGAUAUUUCCCAGACAAGUGUAAAUCAGGAUGCAAAUACUGAUUCCCCCCCAGAUAGACAUGGUCCUCUAACCAAGGCAGGUUUCAAAUUGCAUCUCAUAAACCUAUAUAUAUUA
Parus major (Great Tit) is the source of this 2095-nucleotide long non-coding RNA. RefSeq lists it as uncharacterized. The record is from RefSeq and is a predicted model, not a curated record. NCBI's taxonomy places the organism in Eukaryota, Metazoa, Chordata, Aves, Passeriformes, Paridae. The transcript has 2 exons.